Molecule: non-coding RNA, 232 nt
Organism: Chelonoidis abingdonii (Abingdon island giant tortoise)
Lineage: Eukaryota; Metazoa; Chordata; Testudines; Testudinidae
Source: RefSeq, a predicted model, not a curated record
UGCUCACAGAAUCUGGCAAAAAGAGGGCUGAUGCUGCAAACCCACACAUACCUAAAAGGUACACUGCCCAAGCAAUGUAAACACGUGCCAGGUUGGUACCAGAACCCUCCAGCACAAGCACAUUCCACACAGAUAACAAGGAACAGGCUGACCCACCCUAAAGAGAGGGUCAAAAGGAUAAUAUGAGGGCUAGAGUUGUUUUGUUCGAACCAACAUGCACCAGGAGACAGCA